Molecule: ribosomal RNA, 510 nt
Filed under: uncultured bacterium
Lineage: Bacteria
Description: partial 16S ribosomal RNA
Rfam family: Bacterial small subunit ribosomal RNA
Source: RNAcentral
GACGAACGCUGGCGGCGUGCUUAACACAUGCAAGUCGAACGAAGAGCGAUGGAAGCUUGCUUCUAUCAAUCUUAGUGGCGAACGGGUGAGUAACGCGUAAUCAACCUGCCCUUCAGAGGGGGACAACAGUUGGAAACGACUGCUAAUACCGCAUACGAUCUAAUCUCGGCAUCGAGGAUAGAUGAAAGGUGGCCUCUACAUGUAAGCUAUCACUGAAGGAGGGGAUUGCGUCUGAUUAGCUAGUUGGAGGGGUAACGGCCCACCAAGGCGAUGAUCAGUAGCCGGUCUGAGAGGAUGAACGGCCACAUUGGGACUGAGACACGGCCCAGACUCCUACGGGAGGCAGCAGUGGGGAAUCUUCCGCAAUGGACGAAAGUCUGACGGAGCAACGCCGCGUGAGUGAUGACGGCCUUCGGGUUGUAAAGCUCGGUUAAUCGGGACGAAAGGCCUUCUUACGAAUAGUGAGAAGGAUUGACGGUACCGGAAGAGAAAGCCACGGCUAACUACGUG